This 429-nucleotide ribosomal RNA is filed under the name Actinomycetes bacterium. RNAcentral's name for it is "Actinobacteria bacterium partial 16S ribosomal RNA". It matches the Rfam family "Bacterial small subunit ribosomal RNA", at positions 355 to 776 of the family's 1533-position model. Lineage: Bacteria; Bacillati; Actinomycetota; Actinomycetes. The record is from RNAcentral.
UAGGGAAUCUUCCGCAAUGGGCGAAAGCCUGACGGAGCAACGCCGCGUGAGUGAUGAAGGUCUUCGGAUCGUAAAACUCUGUUAUUAGGGAAGAACAAAUGUGUAAGUAACUAUGCACGUCUUGACGGUACCUAAUCAGAAAGCCACGGCUAACUACGUGCCAGCAGCCGCGGUAAUACGUAGGUGGCAAGCGUUAUCCGGAAUUAUUGGGCGUAAAGCGCGCGUAGGCGGUUUUUUAAGUCUGAUGUGAAAGCCCACGGCUCAACCGUGGAGGGUCAUUGGAAACUGGAAAACUUGAGUGCAGAAGAGGAAAGUGGAAUUCCAUGUGUAGCGGUGAAAUGCGCAGAGAUAUGGAGGAACACCAGUGGCAAAGGCGACUUUCUGGUCUGUAACUGACGCUGAUGUGCGAAAGCGUGGGGAUCAAACAGG